Rosa chinensis is the source of this 1150-nucleotide RNA transcript. RefSeq lists it as uncharacterized. The record is from RefSeq and is a predicted model, not a curated record. NCBI's taxonomy places the organism in Eukaryota, Viridiplantae, Streptophyta, Magnoliopsida, Rosales, Rosaceae. The transcript has 4 exons.
AACUCCCAGCCCAAUGAAGGCAGAUAAACAAAAAGAAAAACUUGAGACUCGACAAGAUUGAGAGUUUGGCGUGAUCAUCAGAGCCUGAUUUAGAAGUCGAGUCGGAGAUGGACAUCAGCUAUUGUAGUCCAAGACGGAGAAGAAGCUGUACCGCGGAGGCUUGUAUAAAUGGAUUGGAUCCUGUACCCCAUUCUUGCAUUCUGUCUCUUGCGUCUGCGAUUAGAUCUGCUGCUGCGGUCGAUUGGUCGUGUGCAGGAACGAAAAGCAGGUGCAACUCUUCUUCUGGUGAUAGACUGCUUCUGCAUAUGUAGGGAGGGUCAAUUGAGUCUACACCGCCAAGCUCUAGAGAUCAAUUUCAGUGUGGUUACAGAGGCGAAACAUUAAGGGUGAGGCUUUGUAUUUCUUUGCUUGGCAUUUUGGAUUGGUGGUUUAAGAUUUGUAUUUCUUUUUGGAAGUGGUGGUGGAAAAGUUUUUAUACGGUGGAAGGAGAAAAGCAAGGCAGCAAGGGAACUUUUUAUGUGAUGGUGCUACGUUUGGAGGAAGAGAAUGUACUGCAUAGGUUGUGAUAUCGGAACUCGGCCGUUCAUGAACGAUCCUAUGUUCCAAUAUCUAAAACCCCAGCAGCCAUGUUGCAUUAAGACGUCAGCCGUUCAUGAACGACCAUGUUAGUCUUAAUUCAAGGGAAGAUUGCUCGGCCGUUCUUGAACGACCAUGGUUGUUUCAAAAGGGUGUUGGUUGUUCAUGAACAGCCCCCUUUUGCUUGAAGAAAACCUAUUAAUUUCCUGCUGAAGCAAGCAAGAGCAGCAUGGUGCAGUGUAUACCUGAACUACUCCUUCUAGCUGCUUUGAUUUCGCUCUCUGUUUUGGCAGAGUCUUGGCCUCUUGUUUGCUGAAUAUUUCUCUCUUCUCUCCCCGUUUCUUUUCACGUUGCCACCUCUAUAUAGCAGCAGUUGGAUAAGUGUAGCUGGGUAGUUGAUAACCCUUUCCAACUUUGUAUUUGAAUUUGAAUGAAAAGUUUAUCUCCAGCUGUUAUCUUCACAUUUUAAUUGGUCAAGCACUUAACCAACACUUGAAUAGUCAAAGCUAGCAGAACAUGUAUCCUUGACGUCAGUUGUACUUAUCAACUCAAAGACCAAAAUUUUGAAUAGCAA